Molecule: long non-coding RNA, 687 nt
Organism: Eptesicus fuscus (big brown bat)
Lineage: Eukaryota; Metazoa; Chordata; Mammalia; Chiroptera; Vespertilionidae
Exons: 4
Source: RefSeq, a predicted model, not a curated record
CAAAAAUUACACUAGAAACAAACCUGUUUUCUCCCCUUGGGCCCCACCGCCCGGUAACCCCAAAUAGAGAGGCCUUAGCUGCCGAGAGAGGAGCGUUCGUACUUUGGUUAGAUUGGAAUUCAGCAUUUGAGGAGAUGUCACUAGUAAUCCUCUCUGAGUCCCGGUGAACCUAAAGGUCUCCUCUGUUCUGAUGGGGCAACACUCAGUCACCAUCUAACACCAAAUGCCAAAGGACAAGAACGAACGAACGCGAGGGGCGGUGGGAGUCCGACCAACCCACCACCAACAGUAGGGCUGUCUUUCUCAAUUUCUGAGGGAGAGUUUCAGGCGCAAAAAAGUUCCCCUCCGGCAGCCUUCACUGACGGCCUCCCGAGUGUGAAGACCCUGGAGGAUGACAGACAGGGCAGAGGCACCCCGGAGAGCACUGUUUUCGCUUUCCAGCUGGGAACGUGCACUAAGUUGUUCUUGAAUACCCACAGCACCCAAAAGGCUGUGCUGUAAUACUCCUCGGCGCACGGAACACCCAUAAAUUACCCUUCGUACUCUUACAACCUCCAACCUGGGACGACUUGGAAAAACCAGCCCAGCAAGCAGGCUCUUCUCAAAUCUCAAUUCACAGGAGAAGAGAAAGUUCAAGCAGAAAACACCUUCCAUGAGAAUUGCAGAGGUUUUUGUUGUUGUUGAAAG